This 812-nucleotide ribosomal RNA is filed under the name uncultured archaeon. Its description in RNAcentral is "bacterial SSU rRNA". It matches the Rfam family "Archaeal small subunit ribosomal RNA", at positions 1 to 810 of the family's 1478-position model. The record is from RNAcentral.
GCCCUUUUCCGGUUGAUCCUGCCGGAGGCCAUUGCUAUCGGGGUCCGAUUUAGCCAUGCUAGUCGAACGAGUUGAGACUCGUGGCGACCAGCUCAGUAACACGUGGCCAACCCACCCUGUAGACCGGAAUAGUCUCGGGAAACUGAGGGCAAUACCGGAUAGGCGAUCCGCGCUGGGAUGCGGGAUCGCCGAAAGGUGAGCCGCUACAGGACGGGGCUGCGGCCGAUUAGGUAGACGGUGGGGUAACGGCCCACCGUGCCAGUAAUCGGUACGGGUCAUGAGAGUGAGAGCCCGGAGACGGACUCUGAGACAAGAGUCCGGGCCCUACGGGGCGCAGCAGGCGCGAAACCUUUACACUGCACGAGAGUGCGAUAAGGGGACCCCGAGUGCGGAGGCAUAGUGCCUUCGCUUUUCUGGACUGUAGGGACGUCCAGGAAGAAGGGCUGGGCAAGACCGGUGCCAGCCGCCGCGGUAAUACCGGCAGCCCGAGUGAUGGCCGAUAUUAUUGGGCCUAAAGCGUCCGUAGCUGGCCGCGUACGUCUGUCGGGAAAUCCACGCGCUCAACGCGUGGGCGACCGACGGAGCCGGCGCGGCUUGGGACCGGAAGGCGCGACGGGUACGUCCGGGGUAGGAGUGAAAUCCUAUAAUCCCGGACGGACCGCCGAUGGCGAAAGCACGUCGCGAGGACGGCUCCGACAGUGAGGGACGAAAGCUGGGGUCUCGAACCGGAUUAGAUACCCGGGUAGUCCCAGCCGUAAACGAUGCCUGUUAGGUGUGGCACUCGCUACGAGCGGGUGCUGUGCCGUAGGGAA